GCAGGUGUAGCUCAGUUGGUUAGAGCGCCGGUCUGUGGAACCGGAGGUCGGUGGUUCAAGUCCACCCACCUGUACCA
Molecule: transfer RNA, 77 nt
Filed under: Ancylobacter oerskovii
Lineage: Bacteria; Pseudomonadati; Pseudomonadota; Alphaproteobacteria; Hyphomicrobiales; Xanthobacteraceae
Also listed under: 3 other names
Description: tRNA-His
Rfam family: tRNA
About the family: Transfer RNA (tRNA) molecules are approximately 80 nucleotides in length.
Source: RNAcentral